Molecule: ribosomal RNA, 20 nt
Filed under: Pyrofomes demidoffii
Lineage: Eukaryota; Fungi; Basidiomycota; Agaricomycetes; Polyporales; Polyporaceae
Description: partial 28S ribosomal RNA
Source: RNAcentral
UUCUGACCUCAAAUCGAGGA